CUACAAGAGUAAUGUGUGCGCUACAGAGAUAACUGCCAUUGUCCAUUGGGGCUCUGUAUUGAGCCCCAAUGGCGUUGCUGGGGUGAAGGCAGACCUGGGUUCAAACACUAUUUGAAAUCUUUUCAAAAUACUUGUUUUUUUUGUGUGUUGCUUUUGCCUACUUGGAGUGCCAGGUGAACAGGGGUUUGCACUUUUGCAACUUCUACUAUUGGUUCCACGGUGGCAGGCAAGCUCAAUCAAGCCCAGCUGAAGUAUUUGAAAUUAUUUCUGGGAGAAGGACGUCUGCAUCACAGAGAGAGAGAGAGGCCCUCGGAAGUGAAGGAAGAAAAUGGAAACAACUGGUGGAACACAGGAGCCAUGCUGCUUAAAACAAAACAUUUCAAAGGGAGGAGGCUUUGUGUCUAGUUAUAACUGUGUAGUUGGAAUGUUUGCCUUGGAGGCAGAUGAGGAGAGGGGAGAGAGAAGGAAACAAGGUUAGAAACGGCUAAAAUGUCACGAGGAAACAAACUGAUUGACAGCAGACUGUCCAUUGGUCUAAUCUGGGAUUCAGUAACAUCUCAGGUCAUGACUGUCAUGAGGAUCAGUCUGUUACUUUAACAACAUUUACCAUAUAACAUAAAGUAAUACUUCAUAUUGGGAAAUACUGUAGAUUCUAAUGCAGUGAGAUGCAUAAUUACUAUACAAUACGCAUAGAAUGUGGAUAUGCAUGAACGCGCGUCACAAUGGUCAAAUGAAAACACAAUUUGAGACACCUGUCAAACAGGUUAUUAUUGACACAGCAGCUCUACUGUACAGUUACCUAGCAAAAUAGUGUACAAGUGAUUGCUAAUUAACUGUAAACUAUUUUAGCUGGCUAACUAAGGAUCUUGACUAACUGUGAGGCAAAACAAUUCACUUAUUUACUGUUAAUUAGCAACCACAGCUGUCUAUGCUUGCAAGCGCGACAGUGUCUCCAAAGCAGCAAGGUGUCUACAGCAAUGUUUACUUUUUGACAUUCUAUGAGAACUCCACUUUCCAAGUGUAUUAUUAGGUAAUAAGAGAUUUAACCGUGGGCUGUAUAAUAAAUCAUUACCUAAUUGCUUAAUGCUACCUAGAAAUGUAAUCAAUUACGUACUAUUGUGUACUUAAAUUGUACUUAAACUUUUACUUAAGAAAAAUCACCUGUAUCAGAGGAUUAGUAGUGUGGCGUACCACUCACAGACAGCCAUGAUAGGCUACUGAAAAUCACCAAGCGUUUGAUGAUGAUGGCACGCCCUUGAGGAUGAUAUUGACAUAUUACAAGCAAAACGGUUACCCAGGUAACCUUUAGGGAACCAACUUAUCUUAUGAAGUCCAGCCCGUUGCGUCUAGGUGUAUCUGGGGAGUAGGGUGAAGUUGCCCCUAGGUGCUAAUCUUUGGUCACUCGCAUUUCCCCUCUAAUGGUUAAGGUUAGGACCGAGGGAGUGGAAGCUGAUCUUUAUUUAGGGAAACUUUACACCAGAGCUUUAUCUGGAGAUGAAUAGGAAAAUAACCUGGAGAGGAAGUUUGCCCCAGGACAUACAUUGCGCAUUUCCUGCCUGCUUUGAUGCAGUAGAUGCAGCGUUUCUCCUCAGCUCUCAAUGUCAAACCAUUUUCUCUGCUGUCGUUUUUCCUCUGAACUCAAUAGCAAACCAUAUCAUCUGCUGUCGUUCCUCCUCUGAACUCAAUAUCAAACCAUUUCAUCUGCUGUCGUUGGUCCCCUCAGGACUCAAUGUCAAACCAUUUCCUAAGCUGUCGUUUCCCCUGAGGACUCAAUGUCAAACAAUUUCCCCUCCUCAGGACUCAAUGUCAAACCAUUUCCUCUGCUGUCGUUUCUCCUCAGAACCAAAUGUCAAAUAAUUUAAUCUGCUGUCGUUUCUCCUCAGGACUCAAUGUCAAACCAUUUCCCCUUCUCAGGACUCAAUGUCAAACCAUUUCCCCUUCUCAGGACUCAAUGUCAAACCAUUUCCCCUUCUCAGGACUCAAUGUCAAACCAUGUCCUCUGCUGUCGUUUCUCCUCAGAACCAAAUGUCAAACCAUUUCCCCUCCUCGGGACUCAAUGUCAAACCAUUUCCCCUCCUCGGGACUCAAUGUCAAACCAUGUCCUCUGCUGUCGUUUCUCCUCAGAACCAAAUGUCAAACCAUUUCCCCUCCUCGGGACUCAAUGUCAAAGCAUUUCCCCUCCUCGGGACUCAAUGUCAAACCAUGUCCUCUGCUGUCGUUUCUCCUCAGAACCAAAUGUCAAACCAUUUCCUCUGCUGUCGUUGGUCUCCUCAGGACUCAAUGUCAAACCAUUUAAUCUGGAUUUUAUCGUGACAGCGUAUAUCACUUCAGUAUGAACUCAUAUGAGCCCUCUAUAGCUGCACCACUUAUACAUAUUUCAAAUGAAUACCAUAAUUUCCGGACUAUUAAGCGCACCUGAAUAUAAGCCGCAUCCACUGAAUUUUUUUUUGAACAUAAAUAAGCCGCACAUGUCUAUAAGCCGCAGGUGCCUACCGGUACAUUGAGACAAAUUAACUUUACACAGGCUUUAACGAAACAUGGCUUGUAACAAAAAUAAAUAGGCUUUAACGAAACACAGCUUGUAACAAAAAUAAAUAGGCUUUAACGAAACACGGCUUGUAACAAAAAAUAAAAAAUUAGCAGUAAGCUUUACCGGUAGUUGUCUUUUUGCACUGAGUCAAUUCCUCACGCUGCUGUUUCCAACAUCUUAUCAUCGACUCCUUAAGACCAAGCUCCCGUGCAGCAGCUCUAUUUCCUUUUCCAACAGCCAGAUCAAUCACCAUCAACUUGAAAGCUGCAUCAUAUAUAUUUCUCCGUGUCUUUGCCAUGAUGAGGGUGACAAAAUGACUACCGUAAUCAGAAUGAUGGGAAGUUUGAGAGUGCUCGAUUUAAUCUAAACAGUAAACAAAAAAGUUGUUUGACCUUAACCCGUUCGGCAAUUUCAUUGGUCUAAUGAAAGCUUUAUGCCGCCAAAAAACUGAGCACGUCACAGAAUGUGUUUUUUUGGAGAGAAAAAAAUUGAAAGCGGGAAAAAUCCAUAUAUUAUCCGCGUCAUUGUUUAAGCCGCGAGGUUCAAAGCCUGGGAAAAAAGUUGCGGCUUAUAGUCCGGAAUUUAGGGUACCCUAAUGUCAACACCUUUGCAUCACACCAAAACUAACAACGUACUGUAAUUUCCUUCACUGAAAUGACUGGCAUCAUCCAUGACAAAACCAACAUCUAAAAGCCUCUCAGUCUCUUCAAACUGCCCAUAUCAUCAACAUCCACUUUAAUGAAAACCAUCAAUGUUCUCACCUGCAAAGCUACUGGUAUCUCUUCUCAUCUCCAAAAUAAUAUAUUUUUCAACAAGAAGCCAUUCUCACACUACUCUGCAUUAUUUUUAAGUAGUUCUUUGCAGUUCAAAAAACAGGUUUCUUUCCUCUUUAAUUAAGUGAUAAUUAAAAUAUAGGUGCGGCGGCUCAAAAUAAAAUAAAAUAAAAUUUUAUUGGUCACAUACACAUGGUUAGCAGAUGUUAAUGGGAGUGUAGCCAAAGCAGCGGCUACUCUUCCUGGGGUCCAGCAAAAUUAAGGCAGUUUAUACCAUUUUUUUUACAUUACAAUACAGUCACAGAUUUCACAACACACUAUGUGCCCUCAGGCCCCAACUCCACCACUACCACAUAUUUACAGUACUAAAUCCAUGUGUAUGUAUAGUGUGUAUGUUAUUGUGUGUGUGUGUGUGUGUGUGUGUGUGUAUGCAUGUGUCUGUGCCAAUGUUUGUGUUGCUUCACAGUCCCCGCUGUUCCAUAACGUGUUUUUAAAUCAAAUUUUACUGCUGGCGUGAAUUACUUGAUGUGGAAUAGAGUUCCAUGUAGCAGUCUGAUGGCCUUGAGAUAGAAGCUGUUUUUCAGUCUCUCGGUCCCAGCUUUGAUGCACCUGUACCGACCUUGCCUUAGUACAACAUUGUGGGGCAUUGUUUGCUCACAGCUCUUUUUGUGCAACCUUGAGUGAGAAUGUCAUUCCAGUUUAUGUACUUUGUU
This 4016-nucleotide long non-coding RNA is filed under the name Salmo salar (Atlantic salmon). Its description in RNAcentral is "lncRNA (ENSSSAG00000083566.1)". Lineage: Eukaryota; Metazoa; Chordata; Actinopteri; Salmoniformes; Salmonidae. The record is from RNAcentral.